CGCUCUGCAAGACACCAGAGGCUGAGAGCAAAGAAAGCUGAAGAAAAGCUCGGCGCUUCUCUCCAGGCCCGAAAUCCGAGCCGCCUCUUCACAAAAAGAAGAGGCUUCCUCCUGACAACCCUUCCAAACAAGCCAAACCCAGAAUCUGCGCAGUCAGGGAGUGUGAUGUUCCAUGCCUACUUAUUCAGUCAGAGCCUGCAUCAGUGUCCCACCUCAGCCACUCAUUCACUGAGCAGGCAUGUGCCAUCACGUCCUCAAACCCGGAAGCAUCCAAUAGUGGGGAGCAGAGUUCCAUUAUACUGGUGAUGCCGUGGCAUGGGAAGCGAGGAAGCUUUCUUCCUGGUGGUGUCCAGGUUUGCACUGUUCAGUGCUUUCAGGACCAACUCAUUGUGCCGGAAACACCUUUUCAGCCAGUGACUAGCAGCUGCAGUGACCUGCCUCAGCAAGUGACUGGCUGACCCACCAUACCCUUGUAUUGAACGAGGACCAGGAAAUGCUGAUCAGCAGGCACCCAGACAUUGUUCGGAUGACAGCAGUGGGGGUUUUUACAGAUGAAUGAUGCCUUGGCCACAUGAUCGUUCCUAAGCUGGUGGUUGCCAGUUAGGUCAGAGUCUCUCCCAGACCAGCAAAGUGGGAUCCUGCUCUUUCUAGACAUACCUACACCCAAGCCAAGUGUUAUGUGGAAUCCUGUUCUACAGUUAAGUUCCAGUCCACACUGUGAGGACAACUUGAUUCAAGGCUUCAUCUCCAAAAAGUUUUUUUUUUCUUCCAGUUUUGUGAGUAGUAAGCCACCACAGUAAGCCAUCCUGUGCAGUUCCACAUCAAUGGAGGCCAAGCUAAUUGCACUGUGAACAUCUGUCUCCAUUGCAUCUGCAUUAGUCACUACAUGUACACCUGCUAAGAGUACACCAGAGAUUCUCUUUAUUCAGUAACAAUGCUGGAACAGUGAGCGAAUAUCCAUUCAUCUGGCCUAAUACCUGUAACAUCCUAUGUUUUGAUAAAUAGACUGGGACAAAGUCCAGGAAGUAAGAGCAGGAAUACCACUCCUCUAUGCUCCCUACUGUUUUGUCUAUUGGACUCCUGUCUGAAAACAGAGAUAGGUUACAGAGAAACCUACCGUGAUUGAAUGCAGAGACCGAGCACAAAAUAACAGACUCAGGGAGAGAGUAAAUGCAUAGUGAGUGGACAAGCUCCUUCCUGAGCAGUGGAUGUCAGAAUGAUUAAGCAGCAAUAUGGAGGGAUUUGUGAGCCAAAUACAGAAGUUAGACACAUAAGAAGACAUGGAGAGCAUCUGCAUGACCUAGUGAGUUACAUAUGUAAGCACAAUUUUUUUCUGUGAUAUGACAUAUAUGCUUUAAGUAAACUGCUGUCACAUAAGGCAGCAAUAAGUGCAGCCCUUAGGUAACCUACAGCCACUUUCCCUGCCAACUUGAGUAUCAGUCCUAAGCGACAGAUCCUCAACUAGGCUGUUGUCCUUGUUCUGAGAAAGUGCAGGGGCAUAAAGUCCAAAACAAUAAACCAAACACUACAAAUGAUGCAGGGCAGGAUACAAAGGGUUAACAAUCAAAGCAUAUUACAAAACAGGGAAUAACCAAACAAGCAAAGAAAGCGAAGUCAGAACCUUAAGUCAGAACCAAAUCCUGCUUAUUGCACUUUGGUAACAACUUAAAAAAAAGGAUAGUUGGGUUCACAGAGAGCAUCUGGCUAGCUACACUACCUUGCCACUUGACAUAAAAACAUCCUUGGUACUGUUACUCAAAGCUGACCUGCAGCACAAUGGUUAAACAAAACAACUUGCAACAUACAUCAAAGUAUCCCUAUUACUGAGGGCAGUGGCGUACCUCCCAUAGAGGCAGGGUACGCCACUGCUAUGGGGCCCCCUGGCCUGGUCAGGAACCAAAUGGCCAUGCCUCCCCAUCCACCUGACCCCAGCAAUUAGAAUGUGUUUUUUUGGCAGUUGUCCAAAACACCCACUUCAUAAUCCGCUCUCUAGCUGGGAAACCAGGCCACCAUGUGCCACUUUGGUGUUGGCUGCAGACAGCUUCAGGCUGUGCAGGUGGUAAUGUCACUUAUCAUUGCCACCCACACCAGAGGGGAGGAGGAAAGACAGGGCUUGCCUGCUGUUCUGUGUAGGAGAGGAGGAAUAAUAUGAUUAUUUCCUUUUUUGGCGGGGGGGGGCACAACCUGCCUACAGGGGGGCUAAACUGGGGACUGCCUGCCUACUGGAGGGACUAUCUUCCUACAGGAAAGAAUUGCCUGCCUGCUGGGGAGGUCUACCUUGCUCUUUGUGGGGGACUAUCUUUUACUGUGCAGGACACCAAGGAGGGCAUUAUCACCAUUUGGGGACUGUGACUGUGAUGUUUGUAUAAAAUUUGGGAAGUUGGUUAAGGAGUUAACUUUUUCUACAGGAUUAAGUUAUGGAUGAGGGAAGUUGUCAUGGUGGUUUGGACCAGAUAGAAAAAAUAAAGAAUUACUUUGCAGUGCAGUUACAUCCAGUGAAUCACAGAUGUCUUCUGUAAUCAUUGUAACUACUGUUGGUCUGACAACAGACCCAUGUAAGUGGUAGACCUUUUCUGAAAGUACAGGGUGGGCCAUUUAUAUGGAUACACCUUAAUAAAAUGGGAAUGGUUGGUGAUAUUAACUUCCUGUUUGUGGCACAUAAGUAUAUGUGAGGGGGGAAACUUUUCAAGAUGGGUGGUGACCAUGGCGGCCAUUUUGAAGUCGGCCAUUUUUAAUCCAACUUUAGUUUUUUCAAUAGGAAGCACCUGAAACUAUGGAUACUGAAAGCCUGUGCUAGCAUUUCUCCUGCGGUGUUGCUAUCAGUGUGUGAAGAGUGGGAGAAGAUUGUUGCAUUGACAAUCCAACACAAUGGGCAGCACAUUGAACACAUUUUAUAAAGUGGUCAGAAACUUGUCAAUAACUCAUGAAAGAAUAAAGUUACGUUAAAACCAAGCACAUCAUUGUUUUUCUUGUGAA
Molecule: long non-coding RNA, 2976 nt
Organism: Hyla sarda
Lineage: Eukaryota; Metazoa; Chordata; Amphibia; Anura; Hylidae
Exons: 4
Source: RefSeq, a predicted model, not a curated record